This 408-nucleotide ribosomal RNA is filed under the name uncultured bacterium. RNAcentral describes it as "partial 16S ribosomal RNA". It matches the Rfam family "Bacterial small subunit ribosomal RNA", at positions 28 to 526 of the family's 1533-position model. The record is from RNAcentral.
GACGAACGCUGGCGGCGUGCUUAACACAUGCAAGUCGAACGAAGUGGCGAACGGGUGAGUAAUACGUGAGUAACCUGCCCUCCUUUUUGGGAUAAGCCUUGGAAACGGGGUCUAAUACCCAAUAAAGGGGGAUGGUCUCGCGGCCUAUCAGCUAGUAGGUAGGGUAAUGGCCUACCUAGGCAACGAGACAUCGCCGACCUGCGAGGGUGACCGGCCACAUUGGGAAUGGGAUAAGGCCCAGACUGAUACGGGAGGAAGCAGUGGGGGAUAUUGGACAAUAGGCGAAAGCAUGAUGCAGCGACGCCGCGUGGGGGAUGAAGGGUUUCGGGGUGUAAACAUCUUGCGCUAGCGAACGGGUAGGUGGAGAAGAAGCGCCGGCUAACUACGUGCCAGCAGCCGCGGUAAUUC